RNAcentral lists this non-coding RNA (80 nucleotides) under pig gut metagenome. RNAcentral describes it as "Cyclic di-GMP-I riboswitch". It matches the Rfam family "c-di-GMP-I riboswitch aptamer". Rfam says of the family: GEMM was predicted in a large-scale screen for bacterial structured RNA regulatory elements. Genes associated with GEMM are involved in a diverse array of functions, including chemotaxis regulation, signal transduction, secretion and chitin. The record is from RNAcentral.
UAAAAAGCAAAAUUAUCGGAAGAUAAUGACGCAAAGCUAGAGGGUCUCAAUCACGAUGUGACAGACAGCCAGUUGCCGAA